UGUGAAGGCUGCCUUUGGCUGUGGCUUCUUGCUGGUCAUCAGGGUGAUUGCACCCAAGUCAGGGUUUUGCAACACCCCAGAGCGCUGCCAGUUAUCGCAAAGGGGUGUCAUAAGAUUCUCAGCAAGCAAUCUCUAAAACAAAUACAUGCCAUUUGGCUCUUCCCCCCACCCCACCCCCCUACCCCCAGGACAUCAGAAUAGGUUGGGGAAAGAUAUCUCCCCCAAGACAUACUCAAGGGCCAUCUCUGCUUUAGUCAAGGACCAAGCCCUGUUACUUGAAGAAAAUGUGCAAAAAUGUUUAUAGUUUUGAAAAAGAGCAAGAGUCCCCAGUUGUAAGAACAUACCGGUGUGUGGCAAAUGAUUAGUCCUGUAACCAAAUAUUGUGAGAAUUAAUGUGCUAGACCCCUGUUCCCAAAUGUGCCUCCCCCAUUCCUGGGAGGCAGCAGAGCCAUGCCCAAGUACUCUGCCUCCUUCCUCGCCGCUCCUAUUGUUUUGCUGUUUCGGUCUUUGAGAUUAUUCUCUCUCUCUCUCUCUCUCUCUCUCUCUCUCUCUCUCUCUCUCUCUCUCGUAAUUUUAUUGUAAGUUUUUAACAAACAAUGUAGUCAUCUUGUUCAACCAUCACAAUAUAGAAAAUGUAGAUAACAGAAAGUGACUUCCAUCCCGAGGUUCAAUUCCUCAACAAGUAACUGCUAUCGGAUCUUAUUAAUCUUUCCAAUAACAUUUUAUUGAGAGAUAACUCAGGAUGUAAAAGCAUACUCUUUUUGCCUUUGUUUUCCACAUGACUGUAUCUCAGCCUGUGCUUUUAAGUUUUAACAUAACUAUAUGACCUUAACUUAUGACCCUUCUAGAUGAACACACAAAAGAUACCCAUUUUUAGUAUGAAUGGACAUAAAACUAGUCAUCUACAAGUGGACACCUGAUUUCCUGUCUUUAUCCAUAGAUGAUGUUGCAGUGUAUAAUUAAUACCCUAGUCCUUUCAUUCUUUUGCAGAUGUAUUUGUUUCUAUGAACAGAAUUGUUAUAAAUAAGGCAUACAUACACUUGUACGUUUAGAAGUCAUUGCUCCAUUUUUCUCCCCAGACAAUAUGUCUGUUUCCAACCUCACUAUCACUUUUGGUGGCCAGCUGGGGGUUGCAAGCCAGUGGCCUGAUGCCUCUGGGAAGCCAUCCUAAUGGCUAGGCCUCCGGGAAUUAGCAUUGCCUGUUCUGUAGAGGUCGUCCAACUCUGGAUAGACACAUACAUUGCCCAGAGAGAGCGUUGCUCAGGCCCAGUCCCCCAUGACCUUUGUUUUAUGCCCUUGGAGGCAAUCAUAGUGAGUGUGGGCCCCUAAGAUGCUGAUGGUGGACCCCCAAGUUAGAAGCCCCAAGGAUGUGUCUGGAAGAAUAGCAAUCUGUGGUGAGCAGAGGCAGCAGCCACUUGGUGGACAGAAGUUCUUAAAGUAGGAAGUUUUGUCCUGGAGAGAAGGCAGAAGCUGUGGUUCCAUGGACAUUGACACGGGGUGCUUGUAUAUGUAUUUACACGACACGGCAGUAAGAAACCCACGAAGGCUUAUGUGACUGUGGCCCGGUACCUUGUCUAAGACCACGUAUGUUAAAGGUGAGUGUGUAUAGUACAUAUAUGUGUGUUUUCUAUUUUUUGGUGCUUGGGCUUGAACCAAAGCAUACUGAAGUGACUUAUGAAUAACAGCUAGGACUCUAGUCACAAGGCUCUGGGUCUCAUCAAGUAUUUCAUAAACUGGACAGGGCAACACAGGUUCCAAGAUCCCAGCAACCAAGAGCUAAAAGUAACAGACCUGAAGCUUAGAAUAUUCUUGACAAGACACCAUGUUUGAUGCUGGUCUGGGAUACUUGAGGCUCAGUAUUUAAAAAAAUCUGGGGGUGGGGGGAGAACACUUUAAAUGGGUUUCCCUUCUCCUUUCUAAUGGUGCUGGCGAUUUAUGCAUGCUGGGCGAGGCUUCUACCGCUAGGUUAGCCCCAGCUCUUGUUUUGCCCUUUUGUUUUACACAGGUCUCACUAAGUGACCAAGGUUUGGCCUUGGAAUCACUUUGCAACCUAGGCAGGGCUUGAGUUUAUCAUCUUCCUGAGGAGAUUUCAUUAGUAGCUGAGAUUACAGGGUACCACACUCGCCUCUCAAACAGUCAUUAAAGAUCAAAUCCACUAGCAACACCUUAUAUAGUUAUAUACUGAGGUCCAGGGAAGAAAGCCAGGCACGUUCACAAGUGGCAAAAGCUAAUUCCUAACAGGUAUUAGCACACAGACAGAGGAGGCAUGGGCUCUUUUGCCAGCAUGUGUCCUCAUUCCCAGCCAAACUGUGCCAGCAAUACCUCUGUUCUGUCCUGGUUGGGACAACAAUGGGCCACGGUCUCCCUGAAGUCAGGGAAGUCAACCAAAGCUGCAAAGAAGCCCUAAUGGAAGACAUUUUGUUUCCUUUAACACAUGGCAAAGCUAACUCUACACACAUCUGCAUAAAGGUGAGAGGUUCUAAUUUCAGGGGACAUAAGAUUCAUGUCUAAGGGAUAGGUUGGGACAAGGGCUUUCAACAAGAAAUGGGUUGACAGAGCAUUCUACUAGUGCCUUAUGUUUUAUUUCUAAUUUGACUUAAAUUUGCACGCUGGGGGUGGAACCCAGGGCCUCGUGAGCAUGCUAAAGCGGGAAGCCUACUGCCCAGCUACACCUCAGCCCUGGUUCUUCCUUUUCAGGUCUUGAUCAUCCAUGGAAGAAGGGAUCAAGAAUUGGUCUUCUAGGGCGAGAGAGAGAGAGAGAGAGAGAGAGAGAGAGAGAGUUAGUUAGUUAGUUCAGAGGUUAAAGGCACUUGUUCCUCUUCCAAGGGACAUGAGUUCAGUUCCCAGCACCCACACCAGUUAACUCACAGCUACAAGUGAUUUCAUUGCCAGGGGAUCCAUCUGGCCUCCACAUAUAGACACACACACACACACACACACACACACACACAAUAGACAUACAAAUAAUAAAAUAAAAAUGAGCUGGUCCUUCAAUUCCUAAGUGGGAAGAAAAAUCCUCGCUUUCAUCUCUAAAGAAUCACUAAGCGCAGUGACUGUCAGAGACGCUCUUCCUAAGGCCAGGGGAAGGUCACAGCCAUGGCUAAAUCCCAGGCAGGAAUUUUUAGGUCUUUGUCCAAUAAGCAGCCUCUCCUCAAAGGCAAGAGGGAAGCCAGCCAGCGUGGAAAAGAGCGCACAGAGGGAUCCUGUCUCCGGCAGAGAAAUGUUUGAUCACCCUUUUAGCUAUGGCUUGGCUGGUGGGAAGUGGAGACAGCGGGGGACAGGGCAGAUCAGUCAUGCCGUUUGGGUCCCUUGUCCAGACUCUCCUUCUUCCAUAGGAGGGAAGACUCAAACAAGGCCAGAACCUCUCUGGUGAAAAAGAAGCUGGAACCACGGAAGGAAGUAGUUUGGCUAUACUGCUCUGAUUAGACUGCAUCUCCCUCCUUUUCCCAUGGAGCCUGUGUUAGGGAAAGGAGAUGAGCUGAGAUCAGAGGGGCAAAGGGCAACAUAAUGAGGAAGGUCUCUCCUCCAGGAUGGAGAAGGAAGAGAUAACAAGCCAUUGGAAUCUGUUUCAUGCGGUGGCAAUGUUAAGAUUUGGGGACAAGACGAAGCCAUUGUUCUAAGGAACCCAAAGAGGGCUGAUGACAUUCUUUGGAUGGCCAUACGUUUAGCAGAGGAGGGAGGAAGAGAUGAAGAUGAAGAGGAGGAGGAGGAGGAGGAGGAGGAGAAGAAGAAGAAGAAGAAGAAGAAGAAGAAGAAGAAGAAGAAGAAGAGAGAGAACAGUAACAGUAACUAGGAAUGGUAUAGACUUUUGAAACCUCAAAGUCCUCUCCCAAGUGACACACCUCUUUCAACAAUGCCACACCUCCUAAUCCUUCCCAAACAGUCCCAUCAAGUGAGGACCAAGUAUUUAAAUAUAUGAGCCUAUGGGAGCCAUUCUCAUACCAAUUUGGGCCUCCCUUAGCUGAGUUACAUAAUAGUGACACAUAAAAUUAGUCAUCACAAUAAGCAGUCUUUUAUAGCUUUUGUGUGUUGAAGCUUAGAGGGGCUACUGACCAGUCAUAAACCUAAUGGUGUACACUGACCUCCCAGUCUUGGCUUUCAGUUAGGUUCCUUCCUACUAUACUGAGCUUUGGGACCGGAAAAGUAGACUUCAUCUCGGAACACCUGUAUCCACUGAAAUGUUUUUAAAAUCACUAGUAUCCUUCCUUGAAAGAAUGGACAUAGGGGAUGAUCUUCAAGGGGACAAGGACUUGAAUAGGUACCUAUCCAAAGAUGUAUAAAUGACCAGCACCAGUGUGAAGACAUGCUAAGUACCAUGAGUUAUCAGGGAAAGGGAAAUCAAACACAGACUGAGGCCUGACUUUAUGCUUAGUGGGAUGACUAAAA
Mus musculus (house mouse) is the source of this 4386-nucleotide long non-coding RNA. RefSeq annotates it as predicted gene 45470. The record is from RefSeq and is a predicted model, not a curated record. The transcript has 3 exons. Lineage: Eukaryota; Metazoa; Chordata; Mammalia; Rodentia; Muridae.